GGCGAGUGAAGCGGCAACAGCUCAAAUUUGAAAUCUGGCCCUUUCGGGGUCCGAGUUGUAAUUUGUAGAGAGUGUUUCGGGUGAGACCACGGUCUAAGUCCAUUGGAACACGGUGUCAUAGAGGGUGAGAAUCCCGUAUGCGACCGUGGAUCGAACCCAUGUGAAGCCUCUUCGACGAGUCGAGUUGUUUGGGAAUGCAGCUCAAAAUGGGUGGUAAAUUUCAUCUAAAGCUAAAUACUGGCUGGAGACCGAUAGCGCACAAGUAGAGUGAUCGAAAGAUGAAAAGCACUUUGGAAAGAGAGUGAAACAGUACGUGAAAUUGUUGAAAGGGAAGCGCUUGCAACCAGACCUGCCCGUAGGCGAUCAGCCGCUGUUCUCAGUGGUGCACUCGCUCUGCGAUCAGGCCAGCAUCGGUUUCGGCGGUCGGAUAAAGGCCUUGGGAAUGUAGCUUCCUUUCGGGGGAGUCUUAUAGCCCUCGGUGCAAUGCGGCCGGCCGGGACCGAGGACCGCGCUUCGGCUAGGAUGCUGGCGUAAUGGUUGUAAGCGACCCGUCUUGAAACACGGACCAAGGAGUCUAACAUCUAUGCGAGUGUUUGGGUGUCAAACCCAUGCGCGGAAUGAAAGUGAACGGAGGUGAGAACCCUUAAGGGCGCAUCAUCGACCGAUCCAGAUGUCUUCGGAUGGAUUUGAGUAUGAGCAUAGCUGUUGGGACCCGAAAGAUGGUGAACUAUGCCUGAAUAGGGUGAAGCCAGAGGAAACUCUGGUGGAGGCUCGCAGCGGUUCUGACGUGCAAAUCGAUCGUCAAAUUUGG
Molecule: ribosomal RNA, 811 nt
Filed under: Flavopunctelia soredica
Lineage: Eukaryota; Fungi; Ascomycota; Lecanoromycetes; Lecanorales; Parmeliaceae
Description: partial large subunit ribosomal RNA
Rfam family: Eukaryotic large subunit ribosomal RNA
Source: RNAcentral